AAGGCAGGUCCGUUGAUUCCAA
Molecule: non-coding RNA, 22 nt
Filed under: Arabidopsis thaliana (thale cress)
Lineage: Eukaryota; Viridiplantae; Streptophyta; Magnoliopsida; Brassicales; Brassicaceae
Source: RNAcentral